AUUCUCUUUGACAGAGUGUAAACUAAAGUUGGAACAAAACAGAGAUUAGCAUAGUCCCUGCUAAAGUCAUGGAACACAUGUACAUGUAAAUGUAAAACUCAGA
This is a small nuclear RNA of Pteropus vampyrus (large flying fox), 103 nucleotides long. NCBI's taxonomy places the organism in Eukaryota, Metazoa, Chordata, Mammalia, Chiroptera, Pteropodidae. The record is from Ensembl.